GAUGAACGCUGGCGGCGUGCCUAAUACAUGCAAGUCGAGCGAACGGACGAGAAUCUUGCUUCUCUGAUGUUAGCGGCUGACGGGUGAUUAACACGUGGAUAACCUACCUAUAAUACUGGUAUAACUUCGGGAAACCGUAUCUAAUACCGUAUAAUAUUUUGAACCGCAUGGUUCAAUAGUUAAAUACGUUCUUUCUGUCUCUUAUAGAUUGUUCCUCGCUUCAUUAGCUAGUUGGUAAGGUAACGGCUUACCAAGGCAACGAUGCAUAGCCGACCUGAGAGGGUGAUCGGCAACACUGGAACGGAGACACGGACAAGAGUCCUACGGGAGGCAGCAGUAGGGAAUAUUCCGCAAUGGGCGAAAGCAUGACGGAGCAAAGCCGCGUGAGUGAAGAAGGUCUUCGGAUCGUAAAACUCUGCUAUUAGGGAAGAACAAAAGUGUAAGUAACUGUGAACAGCGUGACGGUACCUAAUCAGAAAGCAACGGCUAACUACGUG
RNAcentral lists this ribosomal RNA (497 nucleotides) under uncultured bacterium. RNAcentral describes it as "partial 16S ribosomal RNA". It matches the Rfam family "Bacterial small subunit ribosomal RNA", at positions 28 to 507 of the family's 1533-position model. The record is from RNAcentral.